Molecule: ribosomal RNA, 447 nt
Filed under: uncultured bacterium
Lineage: Bacteria
Description: bacterial SSU rRNA
Rfam family: Bacterial small subunit ribosomal RNA
Source: RNAcentral
GUCCAGACUCCUACGGGAGGCAGCAGUGGGGAAUAUUGCACAAUGGGGGAAACCCUGAUGCAGCAACGCCGCGUGAGUGAAGAAGUAUUUCGGUAUGUAAAGCUCUAUCAGCAGGGAAGAAAAUGACGGUACCUGAGUAAGAAGCCCCGGCUAACUACGUGCCAGCAGCCGCGGUAAUACGUAGGGGGCAAGCGUUAUCCGGAUUUACUGGGUGUAAAGGGAGCGUAGACGGCGAUACAAGUCUGAAGUGAAAGCCCGGGGCUCAACCCCGGGACUGCUUUGGAAACUGUGUUGCUGGAGUGCUGGAGAGGCAAGCGGAAUUUCUAGUGUAGCGGUGAAAUGCGUAGAUAUUACGCAGAACUCCGAUUGCGAAGGCAGCAUACCGGCGCGCAACUGACGCUCAUGCACGAAAGCGUGGGUAUCGAACAGGAUUAGAUACCCGGGUAC